This 224-nucleotide long non-coding RNA is filed under the name Homo sapiens (human). RNAcentral describes it as "HSALNT0337328". Lineage: Eukaryota; Metazoa; Chordata; Mammalia; Primates; Hominidae. The record is from RNAcentral.
UUAGCCAGGCGUGGUGGCAGGCGCCUGUGGUCCCAGCUACUCGGGAGGCUGAGGCAGGAGAAUUGCUUGAACCCGGGAGGCAGAGGUUGCAGUGAGCCAAGAUCGCACCACUGCACUCCAGCCUGGUGACAGAGCGGGACUCCAUCUCAAAAAAAAAAAAAAAAAAAAAAAAAAAGAAUUAAACUAGGCAGCGUAUUCCAGCACUCAGUGUUGGGAGAACUGUG